UGGUUCUGGCAUCGAUGAAGAACGCAGCGAAAUGCGAUAAGUAAUGUGAAUUGCAGAAUUCAGUGAAUCAUCGAAUCUUUGAACGCACAUUGCGCCCAUCGGUAUUCUGAUGGGCAUGCCUGUCCGAGCGUCAUUUCAACCCUCAAGAAACCCCCUACCGUUCGCGGGCCGGGGCGCCUUGGUGUUGGGGAUCGGCCCGCCCCUAGCGGCGCGCCGUCCCCUAAAUCGAGUGGCGGUCUCGCUGUCGCCUCCCUUGCGUAGUAGCACACACCUCGCACCGGAGAGCAGCGCGGCCACGCCGUAAAACCCCCCCCAACCUUUCUCAAUGGUUGACCUCGGAUCAGGUAGGAAUACCCGCUGA
RNAcentral lists this unclassified non-coding RNA (361 nucleotides) under uncultured fungus. RNAcentral's name for it is "partial contains 5.8S ribosomal RNA and internal transcribed spacer 2". The stretch from base 1 to 133 matches the Rfam family "5.8S ribosomal RNA", at positions 22 to 154 of the family's 154-position model. Lineage: Eukaryota; Fungi. The record is from RNAcentral.